This 333-nucleotide ribosomal RNA is filed under the name uncultured Anaerolineaceae bacterium. RNAcentral describes it as "bacterial SSU rRNA". It matches the Rfam family "Bacterial small subunit ribosomal RNA", at positions 1035 to 1382 of the family's 1533-position model. The record is from RNAcentral. Lineage: Bacteria; Bacillati; Chloroflexota; Anaerolineae; Anaerolineales; Anaerolineaceae.
CAGGUGUUGCAUGGCUGUCGUCAGCUCGUGUCGUGAGAUGUUCGGUUAAGUCCGCUAACGAGCGCAACCCUCGCCGUAUGUUACAAGUGUCAUACGGGACUGCCGGUAAAAAGCCGGAGGAAGGUGAGGAUGAUGUCAAGUCAGCAUGACCUUUAUAUCCAGGGCUACACACACGCUACAAUGGUCUGUACAAUUGGUUGCCAAGCCGCGAGGCGGAGCCAAUCCGUAAAGCAGGCCUCAGUUCAGAUUGCAGUCUGCAACUCGACUGCAUGAAGCCGGAGUUGCUAGUAACCGCAGGUCAGCAAUACUGCGGUGAAUACGUUCCCGGGUCUU